GUAGUGUAUAUCUGUACAGUGGU
RNAcentral lists this non-coding RNA (23 nucleotides) under Arabidopsis thaliana (thale cress). The record is from RNAcentral. Lineage: Eukaryota; Viridiplantae; Streptophyta; Magnoliopsida; Brassicales; Brassicaceae.